Oryzias latipes (Japanese medaka) is the source of this 220-nucleotide long non-coding RNA. RefSeq lists it as uncharacterized. Lineage: Eukaryota; Metazoa; Chordata; Actinopteri; Beloniformes; Adrianichthyidae. The record is from RefSeq and is a predicted model, not a curated record.
AUCCACAACCAGGGCUGGGGUACACAAAGCUGAGAGGCCCUCCAUCCUGACACCACACACGACAUGACACAAGUGAACUAUGUCUGUGCCAAUGAGCAGAACAACCAGACUUUGCACCCUGCAACCUUUUAACUUCGCAAGACAACGAAACGCUAGAAAGUUGUCAACGCGACUCAAACUACGGCGUCCGCAGGAAGCCAAAAAUAAGACAACAAAAAAG